Molecule: unclassified non-coding RNA, 171 nt
Filed under: rhizosphere metagenome
Description: partial ribosomal RNA internal transcribed spacer region
Source: RNAcentral
GUAGGUGAACCUGCGGAGGGAUCAUUAAUAAGAGACCUUUGGGUCCUUCAUCCUCAAACCUGUGGAAGUGAGAUGUGCUUCGGCGUCUCUGGGCGCCGAAUCUAUGCUGAUUAGCCUGUGUCUGAAGAAAAACAAAAAUUAAAACUUUCAACAAAGGAUCUCUUGGCUCUC